UGGAUGACGGCCUUCGGGUUGAAACCUCUUUAGCAGGGAAGAAGCGAAAGUGACGGUACCUGAGAAGAAGCACCGGCUAACUACGUGCCAGCAGCCGCGGUAAUACGUAGGGUGCCGAGCGUUAUCCGGAAUUAUUGGGCGUAAAGAGCUCGUAGGCGGUUUGUCGCGUCUGUCGUGAAAGUCCGGGGCUUAACCCCGGAUCUGCGGUGGGUACGGGCAGACUAGAGUGCAGUAGGGGAGACUGGAAUUCCUGGUGUAGCGGUGGAAUGCGCAGAUAUCAGGAGGAACACCGAUGGCGAAGGCAGGUCUCUGGGCUGUAACUGACGCUGAGGAGCGAAAGCAUGGGGAGCGAACAGGAUUAGAUACCCUGGUAGUCCAUGCCGUAAACGUUGGGCACUAGGUGUGGGGACCAUUCCACGGUUUCCGCGCCGCAGCUAACGCAUUAAGUGCCCCGCCUGGGGAGUACGGCCGCAAGGCUAAAACUCAAAGGAAUUGACGGGGGCCCGCACAAGCGGCGGAGCAUGCGGAUUAAUUCGAUGCAACGCGAAGAACCUUACCAAGGCUUGACAUGUUUUCGAUCGCCGUGGAGACACGGUUUCCCCUUUGGGGCGGAUUCACAGGUGGUGCAUGGUUGUCGUCAGCUCGUGUCGUGAGAUGUUGGGUUAAGUCCCGCAACGAGCGCAACCCUCGUUCCAUGUUGCCAGCACGUUGUGGUGGGGACUCAUGGGAGACUGCCGGGGUCAACUCGGAGGAAGGUGAGGACGACGUCAAAUCAUCAUGCCCCUUAUGUCUUGGGCUUCACGCAUGCUACAAUGGCCGGUACAAUGGGUUGCGAUACUGUGAGGUGGAGCUAAUCCCAAAAAGCCGGUCUCAGUUCGGAUUGGGGUCUGCAACUCGACCCCAUGAAGUCGGAGUCGCUAGUAAUCGCAGAUCAGCAACGCUGCGGUGAAUACGUUCCCGGGCCUUGUACACACCGCCCGUCAAGUCACGAAAGUCGGUAACACCCGAAGCCGGUGGCCUAACCCUUGUGGGGGGAGCCGUCGAAGGUGGGACCAGCGAAUUGGGACUAAGUCGUAACAAGGUA
Molecule: ribosomal RNA, 1084 nt
Filed under: Micrococcus sp. A-2-19A
Lineage: Bacteria; Bacillati; Actinomycetota; Actinomycetes; Micrococcales; Micrococcaceae
Description: bacterial SSU rRNA
Rfam family: Bacterial small subunit ribosomal RNA
Source: RNAcentral